UUUUGUGCUGCUGCCCUGACUUUCUUCUAGUUCCUGACAUACUUCCUCCCUUCCUGUCAACUGACCCUCCAUCAAUUCCCUGCAUGCUUCUAUGGUCUUUAAAGAGACACAAAAGCAGAAUUUAGCCAGAAUUAGAAUUAGAAUACCUUCACUGUUCACAUGUACGAUGAGAUUAAAAUAGCCAUCUCCAAGCAGUGCAAAAAUACAGAUAUACAAUGCAAACACAUAAACACAGGACAUGAAGAGAUAAAAAACGGAGGUAGGGUGUGCAGUCCUGAGGAGUGUGUACAUUGCAAAUAAAUUACAAAUACGGUACUAUGCAGUGUAAGAUAUGUAUAUAUAUUGCACAUUAUAUAUUAUUAUAUUUUUUAUAUAUAUAUAUGUAAUAAUUAUUAUAAUAUAAUAAGAUAAGAAAAGUAAAGUACACGGGUGCAGCAGCUGGGCUCCACGCUGCCUUACAGUUCGUUAAUUUCAUGAUACAAGUAAUUGUCGUGCCAUUUGGGUGUGCACGUAAAUAUGCGAAAAUAGUGCAACCGACGGUGUUUGCAAAUGGAUUAUUUCCGAUAACAAUGGAUUAUUUUGGCGAUGGAUUAGAAAUUAUCAAGAGCAUGGAGCGAGCUAGUCUGCAAACAAGACAAUCUUCAAACAUGUACCUCUCGUUCCUCUGCCUGGCAAGCACGUUUCUGCGCUCUUUCGCUGCGCAUAAGAGCAGCGCCCGGGUCCGAUCUGACGGGUAUGUCCGUGUCUCCAGCACUAUAUCCACUAAAAUUAAAAAUAGUUGGCACAGCAUCUGGCUUCAGGCGAUUGGUGGGACGGCGAACAAAUCUCCCAUCUUCAGAAAAAGCUCCCUCUUCGAUGUAAUCAGCCUCUAUAAAGUGGUCGCUACAUACUCUCUGCCCUGGUCCCAUUGGGGGGCUGAGGCGUUUCAAUGCAGCUAACCAUCUUCGGAGCACUUCAGGCUUCUUGACGGGAAUUACAUGGAAAUGAACUAUUCUACCGCUCUCCUUUAACCGAUAAAAUUUGUUUGAACAGCCAGGGGCAAUACAAAAGGACCCCCCUGUUCUUCUUCCAAUAUCCGACAUGUUUAUUUUAAAGAGCCAACCAUUCUGAUGACGUAGCGCCUGCGUUUUUAAAACAUGGCUGCGCCCUAGAGGCGAAAGUCGUUAUAAACAUGUCAUUUUACGGUGAAACUACUUGAAUUUCAGUAUUGAUGAAAAUCCAUG
This is a long non-coding RNA of Gadus macrocephalus (Pacific cod), 1223 nucleotides long. RefSeq lists it as uncharacterized. The record is from RefSeq and is a predicted model, not a curated record. The transcript is spliced from 2 exons. NCBI's taxonomy places the organism in Eukaryota, Metazoa, Chordata, Actinopteri, Gadiformes, Gadidae.